AAUAGAUACCCUGGUAGUCCACCCCGUAAACGUUGGGAACUAGUUGUGGGGUCCUUUCCACGGAUUCCGUGACGCGGCUAACGCAUUAAAGUUCCCCGCCUGGGGAGUACGGCCGCAAGGCUAAAACUCAAAGGAAUUGACGGGGACCCGCACAAGCGGCGGAGCAUGCGGAUUAAUUCGAUGCAACGCGAAGAACCUUACCAAGGCUUGACAUACACCAGAACACCCUAGAAAUAGGGGACUCUUUGGACACUGGUGAACAGGUGGUGCAUGGUUGUCGUCAGCUCGUGUCGUGAGAUGUUGGGUUAAGUCCCGCAACGAGCGCAACCCUCGUUCUAUGUUGCCAGCACGUAAUGGUGGGAACUCAUGGGAUACUGCCGGGGUCAACUCGGAGGAAGGUGGGGAUGACGUCAAAUCAUCAUGCCCCUUAUGUCUUGGGCUUCACGCAUGCUACAAUGGCCGGUACAAAGGGCUGCAAUACCGUGAGGUGGAGCGAAUCCCAAAAAGCCGGUCCCAGUUCGGAUUGAGGUCUGCAACUCGACCUCAUG
Molecule: ribosomal RNA, 548 nt
Filed under: uncultured bacterium
Lineage: Bacteria
Description: bacterial SSU rRNA
Rfam family: Bacterial small subunit ribosomal RNA
Source: RNAcentral